This 215-nucleotide unclassified non-coding RNA is filed under the name soil metagenome. RNAcentral describes it as "partial contains 5.8S ribosomal RNA, internal transcribed spacer 2, and large subunit ribosomal RNA". The record is from RNAcentral.
AACCUAGCACACCUGCGGUGUGUACCUGCGGAGGGAUCAUUACAUGAUUUAACAGGGAGUGGAGGCUUCGGCCAAAGCUCUGUCUGAACCCAUGUCUUUUGCGUACUUCUUGUUUCCUCGGUGGGCUUGCCCACCGAUAGGACAACCUUAAACUCUUUGCAAUUGCAAUCAGCGUCUGAAAAACUAUAAUAGUUACAACUUUCAACAAUGGAUCU